Molecule: long non-coding RNA, 814 nt
Filed under: Homo sapiens (human)
Lineage: Eukaryota; Metazoa; Chordata; Mammalia; Primates; Hominidae
Description: STARD13 antisense RNA
Source: RNAcentral
GGAGACUCUAAGACUUCUGAAGAGUUUCUUGCUUCUUUCCUGUGGGGCAGUGACUCCACUUCCCAGCAGUAAUGGAAUAUCCUGAAUUAGCUACAUUAAUGUUAGAACCAUUUGGACCUCACCCAGGACUUCAACUACAUUAUGCUAAAGUUACAGAACCCAAAUUUGGCAACUGUCUGCAUCUGAACAACAGAAGUUUCAACAUUCUGCCAACAGAGUAACUCCUGGACGAUUGGCACAGAAGAAGGCACAAGGCAAAUACCCAUCUCUGUACACCCUGUGCUACUGUGUCAUGUGCUGCUCCAGGCAACUCCAAUGGAUUGGCCACCCUGGCCAAUGUGCCCUCCAAACACCAGCACUGAGUAGAAAGAGGCUCUGAUUCAUGAAAUGUGAAUUUAUGACAGUUGCCACUCUUAAAAAAAAAAACAAACAGACAGAACUUGAGCAAUACAUGACUGAUGCAUUCUCAGCCUGCUUCCUGUGUUCCAUCUGUCUUUCUGCCAGUGCAUUCACCCUCCAGGUUCUAGUAUGUUACGUUUAUGUUCCCCUGCUUUCUACAAUCCUGUUCAAAGAGUUGCUGACUUAACCACAGAGAGGAUUCCAGAACCUGAGACACAGAAUAAACUUGAGCAAUCAUAGUCCAUCCACUUCAUUGUCUCAUCAAAAACCAAAGGUCCAGUGAAGCUCUGGAACUCAACGCUGUAAAGGAGCGAAGGAGCUUCUAUACAGAGCCUGGAUGCCUGUCUCCUUAUCCUACUUCAGUGGACUUGACUGCAAUCCGGAUUAUGCUGUUUUCUAAGCAUUUAAAAUAAAA